GGAGAGGCGGAGUUAUCUCUUCGGGAGUCCACCGAGGCAAAAGAGGCCCUUCUUAACAGAGCUCUCUCUGAAACCGAGGUUCUACUGCUCCUGCUGUUCCAAAGUUUCUUGGGUGUGUUGAAGGAACGGCUCCCAGAUUCAACAAAAGUGAGAUCAGUGCAGGAUCUAAAAUCUAUAGGUGCGGAAGAUGACAAGUCAUCGGCGAUGGAGGUGGACAGUGAGAAUGGAAACCCAAAGAAGAGUUGUGAAGUCGGUGAGAGAGAACAGUGGUCCAUAUCAACACUUGGCUAUCUCACAGCGUUUACAAGGCAAUAUGCGAGCGAGAUAUGGCCUCACAUGGAGAAGGUGAAGAUGUGCAUCCUCUCUUUCUUCAAGCCAUAUCUUCUGCACUUCAGUUCCCUUUACAAUG
This is a long non-coding RNA of Camelina sativa (false flax), 409 nucleotides long. RefSeq lists it as uncharacterized. Lineage: Eukaryota; Viridiplantae; Streptophyta; Magnoliopsida; Brassicales; Brassicaceae. The record is from RefSeq and is a predicted model, not a curated record.